RNAcentral lists this long non-coding RNA (6614 nucleotides) under Jatropha curcas. RNAcentral's name for it is "long non-coding RNA (JCUR_LNC001469)". The record is from RNAcentral. Lineage: Eukaryota; Viridiplantae; Streptophyta; Magnoliopsida; Malpighiales; Euphorbiaceae.
AAUUUUUCAAGUAUGUAUUCAUUUUGACUAAUAAUACCUGUGAAUUUGCAGUUAUCCUCAAAAGGGUCUACUUGGGAUGAGAUAGACUUUGAGUUCUUGGGAAAUUUGAGUGGAGAUCCUUACCUUCUUCACCCCAAUGUUUUUAGCCAAGGCAAAGGAAACAGAGAGCAACAAUUCUAUUUAUGGUUCGACCCAACUGCUGAUUUCCACACCUAUUCCAUUCUUUGGAAUCCCCAACGCAUCAUGUAAGCAAGAAACUCCGUCGCAUCUUCAGCUUUGUUCUUUUUAACUUUAAUUCUAAUUUCUUUAUUAAUAAUAAACUCAUUAUCCUCUGUUUCAGCUUCUCCGUUGAUGGGACCCCAAUUAGAGAGUUCAAGAACUUGGAAUCCGCUGGAGUUCCAUUUCCAAAGAGUCAACCAAUGAGAAUGUACUCAAGUCUGUGGAAUGCAGAUGAUUGGGCCACAAGAGGUGGUCUUGUGAAGACAGAUUGGAGUCGAGCUCCCUUCACUGCUUCUUACAGAAACUUCAACGCCAAUGCUUGUAUUUGGUCUAAUGGAGCAUCUUCUUGCAAAUCUAAUUCACCUUCCGGUAGUAAUGUGUGGCUGUCACAAGAAUUAGACACAAACAGUCAAGAUAGGCUCCAGUGGGUACAAAAGAAUUACAUGAUCUAUAAUUACUGCACAGACACUAAAAGAUUUCCUCAAGGCAUCCCUCCAGAAUGCAGCAUGUCAUAGAAGGCUGAGAAGGACAUAACAUUCAAUACAAUUUUUGUUUUUCUUUUUCAACAUAUCUUGAUUCUUUUUCUUUACAUUCUUUUGUUCUAUGCAAUUAGAUAUGACAAAAUUCGUUCUAUGUAAAGCUGCUUUGAAUCUUGAUUAAUGCUAUUUGUUCAUUAUCUCCAUUGAGAUCUUCAUAUCCAGGUUGGAAUGAAGCAUAUAUGAGCAACUUAAGGACAAGAGAUUUGAAAUUCGAUAACAUGAGUCUAGCUUUUCUUCAAAUUGCAUAAUUCAGAAGUACAAGUAAAAAAUUAGGCAAGGUAGUGGCGAGAUCGCCCUCCAACUGAAAGCGAGAACUUUUGUCAAACAGCUGGUCUGCAGUUUGUUUGCAGUGUGCUCUGAAAAAUGUUAGUUUCUUUUUUGGUGUGUUCUGUUAACUAAAGACGCAUGCCGCUAAAUGGAAAUCAAUAUAGGAUGCAUAAUUUGCUCAAUUAAGAAAAUGAAUUUACAUACAGUUUUUGCACAAACAAAAGAUAAACCAAUCUGAACAGUAAUUUAAUGAAAUGUAGAGAGCCAUCAUAAUUUUCGCUUGAGAAAGUGCUAGUCUUAGGUCGUAUAUAGCUUUUAUGCUAUAUACUUAUAGCCAUCCAAUUCCAGUAAGAACAGAUCAUUUUUAUUAUACCCCCAACUUUACGGCUUAUUAUAAUUACACUCUAAAACCAACCCAACUGACAGACACUCCAGAAUCUGCAGUUCUUGCUGCACUUGGGUUGGCGGUGUUGCAUCUUCAAUCCCUUCUCUCUAGUCUAUGCUUCUCUCCUACCUUGGUUGUCCUCUGUCUUCCUCUCCCACCGCCUUUUGGCAUCUAGCAUCCAGGUCUGAGAGAGAGGGAUUUUGAGAUGAGAUCCAUGAAGGAGGGGUAGAGAAGGGAGAGAUGAAACGGUAAGGUUUCUUUUGUUCCUUUAAACAAAACUCACCGUUUCACUUAACUGGGAUGGUUAAGUGAACUCAACAAAGUCCAACGGGUCCCAGAAAUAAUAAUAUUAUAACGUCUAAUUUUGACCAAAACCAAAAUGGGGCACAAUUUUGACAAAAAUAUAAAAAUAAGGUGCCUUAAAGUUGGUUUUGGGGUGUAAUCUGUGACGAAGUGUAAAAUGGAGGGUACAAAUGAUGGUUUACCCAAGAAUAGACCGAGUGCCAUCCAAUUCCCUUGGGAUAGCUUCAGUCAAAACCUAGUACUUUAAUCUUAAGACUAAAACCCACAAGGUAUUAGGAUUUUUAAGUAAAUGCCAACCAAUCUUUAUAAAAAAAAAAAAAAAAAAAUGAAGAUGUUUUUGCAAUGGAGAUGGAGAGAAGGAUGCUUAAUUUCUUAUUGCUUACCAAAAACAACAGUACAUAACAAUAUAUGUAUAUUUGGGGCAAGGACUACUUAGUACAGGAAACUAAGAUGAACAUUUGAAAUUUGACUUAACCCCAAAAUUAAUACUUCUUCUGUUUUAUUUUGUUUGCUUGUUAUUCUUUUUUGAAAAUGUCCAAAAAUAUUUACAAGGUUUCUAAAAGCAUUUAGUACGUUAUUGCGUGUAGGUGGUUAGGGAUAUAAGGUCUUGGAUAAAAUUGAUCAGCAUCUUCCCUCAAAAUAUUAGAUAUUAUCGUUGAUUUAUCAUCAAACUCAAGUGCCCCUUGGGUUCACCCUUCGCUAUGGUUUUAUAUACUUAGACAAUUAUUUUUUUCCAUUGUAACAUAUAUGAUUGUUCAUUAAUGAAUGAUUUUUACUAAUAUCUUAAUGAGUGAAGAGUAAAAUGAUUUUUAUUGAUUAAAUUUUUAAUAUGCGUGUUUUUUGAAACCAUGCAAAUAAAAUAGGAUGGAAAAAGUACAUCAUUAAAUUUAAACCGUAUACUUUUUUUUUUUAUUUUAACCACAAGGAUCCCCGUCCAGGAAAGGACCGAGGGGCUAUGCCCCUGCAAAUUAAAAAGUUUUUAAAAUUUUUAGUGUGAAAUGUUUGGAAAAAAAUAUAUUUGAAUUUUGCUCCCUAUAAUUAGUAAAAAAUUUUUUGGUCCCCCUAACUAUUUGGGCUGAUUUUGUCAUUGUUCCGAACCCACUGGAUUAAAACUAAAUCCUACUUGCACCGAAUCGGCCCACUACAGCGAGUAUUUACUUCAUCCAUGAGAAUUAAACCUUUCGAUCUCAAUUAAGAGAGAAGAAUGCCGAACCACUCAUCCCAACGUUUAUUUGUGAUAAACCAUAUACUUUAUGCCAAGCAAAAAUAUCAACACAUAUUCCAAAACUUAGACCAUCGUACAUAAUUUAUUUUUUGCAAAGUUCAUUUGUGAAUGAUGGACUGGUUGAGCAUGAUUUUUUUUUUUUUUUCUAAUGGAAAAAUUCUCUUGUUUUAUCUUUUGGAAGAACCAAAUGGAGAUUAUUGAGGUUCGUAGAAUACAUAUUUGACAAAGCACACAGAGAAUGACCUUUUUUGCAGUACAAACAAUUUUUUUUUUCCCUUUCAUUUUCAUUGCAUAUCAGCUGAGGAAUUUUAAGAAAAAGCAGAUAAGGAGAUUUCUGAACCAACUUGGCAAUUGGCAUGACUUAUUAGUGCAUGCUUCACAAAUAUGCUGACAAUAUUUUAAUUACUUUGACAGUAAAGGAGUUUAAAAAAAAAAAAAAAAGCAAACAAGCAAAUUGUUUUUCUUUUUUUUUUUUUUUUAAAUGGUAAUCCAUUAACAAUCUUAUGUUGAGAAAUGAUCUUAAUAGAAUAAAUUAUUCUUUAUUCUUUGAGUUGUAAUUGUUUUUUUUUUUUUUAAUUUAGAGAUCAGGUUAGGCAUCAAAUUGAAAACAAUUUAAAUUGUUAAGAGAAUAUUUUGGGUUACACAGCUGAGAUAGUCCUUUUCUUUAUCGAGAGAUGUUGAAUAUGUACUUGAUAGUGGGUCAGUUUGGUUCGGUUUAAAUAUAAUAAUCAAACCAAACUUAAAGUGGUGGUUUGAAAAAAAUUAAAAUCAAAAUCAAAUCAUGAAAAAUUUCAAACCAAACCUAAUCUUCGGCGACAGUUUGAUUUGAUUUGGUUUGGUUUGACAGUUUGAAAUAAGAGAAAUUAAACUUCCUUGUUCAUCUAGUUAAUAAAUAUAUAUAUAAAAAAAAAGAUUAACAUUAUUCUAAAUAUGAAAAAUGAAUUGAUAAAAACUAUGCCAUAAAAUACACAUGAUUUUGAAUAGCUAUUAUGAGUUUUUAAAUUUAUAUAUAUACUUUGUAUAGUAUAAAAAAUAUUAUUUAUUUAGAAAGAUAAUAAUUAAGCAAUUUAUAAAUAUAGAAUUUAAAUUUGAUUUAAUUAUAUCUAUUACUAGAAAUUAUAAAAAAAUUAUAAUUUUACUCACAUAUAGUUUAUAUAUAUAUACAUGAAUGUUUAACAUUUGAAUAUUUUAUAAAAUAAUUAUACAACUUAUCUAAUCAACAAGAAAUUAUUAUUCAAUUAUUAUCCAAUAUAACAAAUCUCAUAAUUUACUAUCCAAUAUAAAGUAAUUAAUACAACAGAAAUUUUCAUUAAAAAAAUUGAAUUGUAUUGAAAAAUUCAAAAUACAUAUAUAUAAUUAUACAUGGAUGUUUCAUUUGGUUUGGGUGGUUUGAUUCCAAAAACAUAAACCAAACCAAAAGCUCGGUUUGGAUGGUUGUGACUGUAAAAUCAUAAACCAAACCAAAAGCUAGGUUUUUAAAUUUUAUAAAAUCAAAUUAAACCAUCAAUCUUUUAAUUAAAACCGCAGUUUUAAUUCGAUUUGAAUCGAUUUGGACGGUUUAGGCAGUUUGAUGAACACUCUUACGUAUGGUUGUCAGAAAAUACUUGUAAAUAAUCGGCAUGAUGGGUUCCAUAUUAUGUAUAAACAAGUCAGACCCAAAUGUUACAUGUGGCCUUAAUAUAAUUUGAGCUUUUGGUGCUUUUCACCAUAAUAUAUACUAUUUUUGUAAUUUCUGAUUCUUUUCACAUCUCUAAAGAUUUCACAUAUAAAUUUAAUAUACAAAAUUAAAGGUGGAUUUGGACGGAAAAGAGUAAAGAAAUGCAUCACUCGUGAUGCAUAAAGCUUUUGAUCAGUGGAGAUUUAUUUUAAUGACACCCCAUAAUACAUAAAGCUUCAUGAACCAGUAAAAGAAGAGAGCGAGUUGAAUAGAUGCUGAUUUUUCUGAUAGAAAGCUAAUAAAAAAACGUUUUCUUUUUUAAAAAUAUUAUUAUUUUUUCGGUGUAUAAUUAAAUAUAUUCUGGUUUGUAAUUAAUUUGGUAUAUAAAUGGGCUCAUAUCCCAUGUAAGUAAAUUUUUUUAUUAAAAUUACGGAUUCAAUGUAUAAAAAUUGAAAAUAAUGGAUAAGCAAAAAUUAAAAGAAGAUAAAAUAGCAAAUCUUUUUUUUUUUUUAUUUAGAACUAACAGGUGUAAUCCCUCUUCGGCCAUUUAAGUGUAUUUUAGAAGAAUCUAACUUAUUUUAUUGACUGAAUUACCCUUUAGUCAAUACUCAAUUAAUUGAAACUUUGGUGUAGAUAUCUAAACAAGUAAAAUUGAAAUAAAUAAUUAAAUGAUAUUUUAAUUUUCAAAAAGUGUCAUCUAAAUGGUAUAAAAAAUAAAAAAAAAACUGUCAAAUUUAACGAAACAGAUAAUGCUAACAAAAGAAAGUGACAACUACAAACGCAAAAUGAAAAUUUUGUGAGGUUGAUUAACAUCUUUAUAUCAAGAUUAUGCAGUUUAUCAAAAAUACUUAUCGCAUUUGGGUAUUUAAUUUCUCUUAAAAAAAUUAUUUAAUUUUUCUAAAUUAUAAUAAAUUAUUAAAUGGAUUGAUGAAAUACUUUUAAUUUAAUAUUUGAGUUGAAACCAUUCAACUACUUGUGUACAAAUAAUAAAAAAAGAAAAAAGUUUAUUAUUUAUUAAAUCCACGUAUCUGACAACUAUGCAUUUGGUUUUUGCACGGAUCCUUACAAAAUGAAAGAUACUAAUGCAAGAAUCGAAAGCAUCAACCAGGUGACAGCCACACGCCAACCCUGCAUUGCAUUAAUGCGAAACCGCGUCUCGUGUCGCUUAAUGUCUUUUUGGUGCGCUAUAUUUUAUUCACAGUACAACUGUCCAGCUGAUGACUAUACUGAACCUUCCCAUGCCUUUUCCUUUUCAAAUUCAAAUGGGUAUAAAUACCAUCAUCGUCUCAUCUUAUCUCCACACUUGUAACAUACCAGUUCUUUCUUUUACUCUAUACAUUGUAUACGCAGUUUCUUGCUAUCCCUUAUUUCAACAUCAAGAAAAAUUUAUCAUGGCUUCACAUAGUUCUUUAAUGCUGCUAUUGCUUCUUGGCAUCUUCUCUUCCAUGGCAGCUGCAAAUUUUUACCAAAAUUUUGACAUUACAUGGGGAGAUGGCCGAGCUAAGAUUCUCAACAAUGGAGACCUUCUUACGCUUAAACUUGACCAAGCUUCUGGUUCUGGAUUUCAAUCCAAAAAUGAGUAUUUGUUUGGACAAAUUGACAUGCAACUCAAGCUUGUCCCUGGCAACUCCGCUGGCACCGUUACUGCCUAUUAUGUAACUAUUUCUUUCUCUCUUCUUUUUUUUUUUUUUUUUUUUUUUUGCUGUAAAUUUUUAAGUAUAUAUGUAUUCAUUCUGACUAAUAAUACUUGUGAAUUUGCAGUUAUCGUCAAAAGGGUCUACUUGGGAUGAGAUAGACUUCGAGUUCUUGGGAAAUUUGAGUGGAGAUCCUUACAUUCUCCACACCAAUGUGUUUAGCCAAGGCAAAGGAAACAGAGAGCAACAAUUCUAUUUAUGGUUCGCCCCAACUGCUGAUUUCCAUACCUAUUCCAUUCUUUGGAAUCCCCAACGCAUCAUGUAAGCAAGAAACUCUGUCAAAUCUUCAGCUUUUUGUCUUUUUAUCUUCAAUUUUAAUUUCUUU